Molecule: transfer RNA, 100 nt
Filed under: Bradyrhizobium lupini
Lineage: Bacteria; Pseudomonadati; Pseudomonadota; Alphaproteobacteria; Hyphomicrobiales; Nitrobacteraceae
Description: tRNA-OTHER
Source: RNAcentral
GAGGGCGUUUUGAGCCGUUUUUCCAAAUGCGCUUUGAAAUCGUUGAAUAAUCAGGCGGAUUUUGAUUCCGCCAUUCGGAGGUUCGAUCCCUCCCGCCCCA